GGUUCGAUUAUGGCUCAGAUUGAACGCUGGCGGGAUGCUUUACACAUGCAAGUCGAACGGCAGCACGGACUUCGGUCUGGUGGCGAGUGGCGAACGGGUGAGUAAUGUAUCGGAACGUGCCUAGUAGCGGGGGAUAACUACGCGAAAGCGUAGCUAAUACCGCAUACGCUCCUUCGGGGGAAAGCGGGGGGACCUUCGGGCCUCGCACUAUUAGAGCGGCCGAUAUCGGAUUAGCUAGUUGGUGGGGUAACGGCUCAUCAAGGCGACGAUCCGUAGCUGGUUUGAGAGGACGACCAGCCACACUGGGACUGAGACACGGCCCAGACUCCUACGGGAGGCAGCAGUGGGGAAUUUUGGACAAUGGGGGAAACCCUGAUCCAGCCAUCCCCGCGUGUGCGAUGAAGGCCUUCGGGUUGUAAAGCACUUUUGGCAGGAAAGAAACGGCACGGGAUAAUACCCCGUGCAACUGACGGUACCUGCAGAAUAAGCACCGCAUAACUACGUGCCAGCAGCCGCGGUAAUACGUAGGGUGCAAGCGUUAAUCGGAAUUGGGCGUAAAGCGUGCGCAGGCGGUUCGGAAAGAAAGAUGUGAAAUCCCAGAGCUUAACUUUGGAACUGCAUUUUUAACUACCGAGCUAGCGUGUGUCAGAGGGAGGUGAAUCGCGUGUAGCAGUGAAAUGCGUAGAUAUGCGGAGGAACACCGAUGGCGAAGGCAGCCUCCUGGGAUAACACUGACGCUCAUGCACGAAAGCGUGGGGAGCAAACAGGAUUAGAUACCCUGGUAGUCCACGCCCUAAACGAUGUCAACUAGCUGUUGGGGCCUUCGGGCCUUGGUAGCGCAGCUAACGCGUGAAGUUGACCGCCUGGGGAGUACGGUCGCAAGAUUAAAACUCAAAGGAAUUGACGGGGACCCGCACAAGCGGUGGAUGAUGUGGAUUAAUUCGAUGCAACGCGAAAACCUUACCUACCCUUGACAUGUCUGGAAUCCCGAAGAGAUUUGGGAGUGCUCGCAAGAGAACCGAACACAGGUGCCGUAUGGCUGUCGUCAGCUCGUGUCGAGAUGUUGGGUUAAGUCCCGCAACGAGCGCAACCCUUGUCAUUAGUUGCUACGAAAGGGCACUCUAAUGAGACUGCCGGUGACAAACCGGAGGAAGGUGGGGAUGACGUCAAGUCCUCAUGGCCCUUAUGGGUAGGGCUUCACACGUCAUACAAUGGUCGGGACAGAGGGUCGCCAACCCGCGAGGGGAGCCAAUCCCAGAAACCCGAUCGUAGUCCGGAUCGCAGUCUGCAACUCGACUGCGUGAAGCCUGGAAUCGCCAGUAAUCGCGGAUCAGCAUGUCGCGGUGAAUACGUUCCCGGGUCUUGUACACACCGCCCGUCACACCAUGGGAGUGGGUUUUACCAGAAGUAGUUAGCCUAACCGUAAGGAGGGCGAUUACCACGGUAGGAUUCAUGACUGGGGUGAAGUCGUAACAAGGUAG
RNAcentral lists this ribosomal RNA (1481 nucleotides) under uncultured Bordetella sp. RNAcentral's name for it is "partial 16S-23S ribosomal RNA intergenic spacer". It matches the Rfam family "Bacterial small subunit ribosomal RNA". Lineage: Bacteria; Pseudomonadati; Pseudomonadota; Betaproteobacteria; Burkholderiales; Alcaligenaceae. The record is from RNAcentral.